Molecule: non-coding RNA, 23 nt
Filed under: Cricetulus griseus (Chinese hamster)
Lineage: Eukaryota; Metazoa; Chordata; Mammalia; Rodentia; Cricetidae
Source: RNAcentral
CAAAGAACCCCAGAAUGAAGACU